AACGCAUAUUGCGCUCUUUGGUAUUCCGAAGAGCAUGCUUGUUUGAGUAUCAGUAAAACACUCAAAUCUUUUUUUUCUUGUAAAAAAAAAGAUUUGGUUUUGAGUAAUCCUAACGAAAAAGAAACUUUCUCUUUUGGCAGGUCACUUAAAAUUCAGGUGAAGUUGAACAUUCUUCUGAGCUAAAAGCAUAUCUAUUUAGUCCUAAUUAAUUAGGAUUAUUACUUUUUGCUGCAGCUUAAAUAAAGGUUGAUUGUUUAAUGACUGAUGCAGGAAUUUAUCAGUGGAAGCAAAAAAAAAAAAAUGCAGAAACUGUGAAUCUCGAUCUCAAAUCAAGUAAGACUACCCGCUGAACUUAA
RNAcentral lists this unclassified non-coding RNA (356 nucleotides) under uncultured Mortierella. Its description in RNAcentral is "sequence contains ITS2". The record is from RNAcentral. Lineage: Eukaryota; Fungi; Mortierellomycota; Mortierellomycetes; Mortierellales; Mortierellaceae.